CACAGAGAUCAGCCCGUCCAGCCCCCCUCAUUUCACGCUCAGGGAAGUUGAGACCCGGAGCAUCUGGCGACCUGCGAUCAGAUGUGGGUUGGAGGACGCGCACUCGGGUCUGUGACUCCGACUGCAGCCGCACUCCCCACCCUGCUCCUCACUCCUUCCUAGAACCUGGGAAGAGGGAUCUACACUACCCUACACUCAGACCCGCCCUGGGCUCAAAGGUCUCAGCAAAGAAUGUGCUCCUUCAGCUUGGACCCCCUCAAGGGCAGAAGAGAUAAACUCAGGAAGGUGCUGACUCUACCUACCUUCCCCUCCAGGUCUGAAGGGCUCUCCUAACCAGCCUUAUCCCCUCUCCUGAGUUGUGGCAGAGGAUCUAGGUAUGAUGCCCACAGAAAAGCAGAAGUCUUCACUUGCCAACAAUGCCACGAGGUAGGGGUGAUGACCAUCCCCAUUUUACAGAUGAGGCAACUGAGGUGCAGAAAGAUAACCAACCAACCAGCUGGGCUGUCCCUAACCCCAAAACCUGGACUCCUCCCACUGCCCCAGAAGAAGGACUAAGGACUCCCAGCACAGUGCUCCCAGUGCGGGCUUCUGUAAGACUAAGAACCCCACGCAGCUCUGAUAAGGCUGACUUCCUACCACCCUGACGCCAGCUGCCGCCUCGGCCCCUGCUGAGCCCACUGUGUGUAAUUUGGUGCCAAUUAGGAAUGAGUGGGAACCAUUAGUGCAUUUAAUUCCCAACCUAGAAACAGGCUCUGGGAAGCUAAGCUGCAAUUAGCUGAGUUGCCUCCCCCAGGCUGCCCCAGCCACCCUUUUCUCACCGCUGAGCCCCUGCCUUUGAUGGGAACCAUCCACCAACCACUUCGAGAACCCCUCCUAGGGAUCCAGGAGAUCCGGAUGGGAAUUUGACGUGGACCCUGCCCUUGAGCAGGAAAUGAAAAUGGAGCAUUGAGCACCAGCUGUGGCUCCAGCUACAGAGGACACAGGAAAAUCAAGCCCUGGCUCAUGGAGCCUUCACUCUGAUGGGAAAGACAGACAACAGACAGUAAAGCCAUAAUAAAAAAUAUCCAUGAAAGUGAAGCAGUGUGAUGAGACAUGGAGGGACUGGAGGGGGUGACCAAAAAAUGGUGGUCCCUAUUGUUUUCAUGACUACUAUUUUAUGUGUUCAGUUGGGUCUUGAAAGCCCAAUGGGACAGAUC
Bos taurus (domestic cattle) is the source of this 1196-nucleotide long non-coding RNA. The record is from Ensembl. Lineage: Eukaryota; Metazoa; Chordata; Mammalia; Artiodactyla; Bovidae.